UGGGGAAUCUUGCGCAAUGGGCGAAAGCCUGACGCAGCAACGCCGCGUGGGGGAUGAAGGCUCUCGGGUCGUAAACCCCUUUCAGCAGGGACGAAACUGACGGUACCUGCAGAAGAAGCCCCGGCCAACUACGUGCCAGCAGCCGCGGUAACACGUAGGGGGCAAGCGUUGUCCGGAAUCAUUGGGCGUAAAGAGCUCGUAGGCGGUUCGGUAAGUCGGGUGUGAAAACCCAGGGCUCAACCCUGGGAUGCCAUUCGAUACUGCUGUGACUCGAGUCCGGUAGGGGAGCACGGAAUUCCUGGUGUAGCGGUGAAAUGCGCAGAUAUCAGGAGGAACACCAGUGGCGAAGGCGGUGCUCUGGGCCGGAACUGACGCUGAGGAGCGAAAGCAUGGGUAGCGAACA
RNAcentral lists this ribosomal RNA (403 nucleotides) under uncultured bacterium. RNAcentral's name for it is "bacterial SSU rRNA". It matches the Rfam family "Bacterial small subunit ribosomal RNA", at positions 355 to 774 of the family's 1533-position model. The record is from RNAcentral.